UACAGAGGUCCCAAGCGUUGUUCGGAUUCAUUGGGCGUAAAGGGUGCGUAGGUGGCGCUGUAAGUCAGAUGUGAAAUUUCGGAGCUCAACUCCGAAACUGCAUUUGAUACUGCGGUGCUUGAGGACUGGAGAGGAGACUGGAAUUCAUGGUGUAGCAGUGAAAUGCGUAGAGAUCAUGAGGAAGACCAGUGGCGAAGGCGGGUCUCUGGACAGUUCCUGACACUGAGGCACGAAGGCCAGGGGAGCAAACGGG
This 253-nucleotide ribosomal RNA is filed under the name uncultured bacterium. Its description in RNAcentral is "partial 16S ribosomal RNA". It matches the Rfam family "Bacterial small subunit ribosomal RNA", at positions 524 to 776 of the family's 1533-position model. The record is from RNAcentral.